Molecule: long non-coding RNA, 872 nt
Organism: Solanum dulcamara
Lineage: Eukaryota; Viridiplantae; Streptophyta; Magnoliopsida; Solanales; Solanaceae
Exons: 2
Source: RefSeq, a predicted model, not a curated record
UUUUUCUCUUCUUCUCCAAAGAAAAGAGGAGACCACCGCCUCUCUCUCGUCUCCAAAAAUAGAGACAAACCACCGCCCCUCCUUCUCUCCACCACUUCGCCCCACCUCAGUGCCAAGAACACCGCCGCACCACUCUCUCUCUCUUCCUCUUCCUCCGUUAUUCCUUUCCUUUUCGCUGCCAGUGAAACAAAACAGUGAGAGCAGCGUCGCCCUCCUCUUUCCGUCUCUCUCCACCGGCGAGACCACUAACUCACUGUCAUCACUCUUCUCCUCUCCAUCUUCAUUCUCUCCCUCAUCCCGCCAUGUUCUCUCAUAUCUCCAUCUACUAACAAAUGCUGGAUUCUAACGAGGCCCACCACCAUACCAUGCAACCAUACGCCGACCAACGAACUCCGACAAAAGACUAAAGCUUGAGGUUUUGGUCUACUAAAGACGGAUCUUAACAGAUCCAUCUAGGAUUUAGCUCAUUCAGGAGAACAAUGGGUACACCCUUCUAGCUCUACAGACUAAAAGAAGCGAUAAACUUCUCUUCUUCACUCCCUUUCACAUUAUUUGUAAGCUUUCAUAUUUUCCUUAGGUAUUUUUUUUGUUGUGAAUAUUAUUGUUCAAGUGUUGUGAUCUUGAUGAUUGUCGUUGACAUCUCGGAUCUUCUUCAUCUCUUUAUUAUUUGAUAAUUUUCAACCAGUUAGUACUUUAUCGACUUUAAAUUCCUCUAUGAUCUUUUCUUUGUAUCUAGAUUUCUUUUAUUAGUUUCAAAAUAGUUGAAUUGCUUGAAUGCCUUAUGCAUUUUGUGGAAGUCAUCCGGGUGUCUCUUCAAUUCAAAUGUUUGUAAACUUUAUCUUUCGUAAGUUAUUUUAAAAAAGUAUCUGAAC